GACGAACGCUGGCGGCGUGCUUAACACAUGCAAGUCGAACGGAAAGGCCCUGCUUUUGUGGGGUGCUCGAGUGGCGAACGGGUGAGUAACACGUGAGUAACCUGCCCCUGACUUUGGGAUAACUUCAGGAAACUGGGGCUAAUACCGGAUAGGAGCUCCUGCUGCAUGGUGGGGGUUGGAAAGUUUCGGCGGUUGGGGAUGGACUCGCGGCUUAUCAGCUUGUUGGUGGGGUAGUGGCUUACCAAGGCUUUGACGGGUAGCCGGCCUGAGCGGGUGACCGGCGACAUUGGGACUGCGAUACGGCCCAGACUCCUACGGGAGGCAGCAGUGGGGAAUAUUGCACAAUGGGCGGAAGCCUGAUGCAGCAACGCCGCGUGCGGGAUGACGGCUUGCGGGUUGUAAACCGCUUUCGCCUGUGACGAAGCGUGAGUGACGGUAAUGGGUAAAGAAGCACCGGCUAACUACGUG
RNAcentral lists this ribosomal RNA (468 nucleotides) under uncultured bacterium. RNAcentral describes it as "partial 16S ribosomal RNA". It matches the Rfam family "Bacterial small subunit ribosomal RNA", at positions 28 to 507 of the family's 1533-position model. The record is from RNAcentral.